This 346-nucleotide unclassified non-coding RNA is filed under the name soil metagenome. RNAcentral describes it as "partial contains 5.8S ribosomal RNA, internal transcribed spacer 2, and large subunit ribosomal RNA". The stretch from base 1 to 120 matches the Rfam family "5.8S ribosomal RNA", at positions 35 to 154 of the family's 154-position model. The record is from RNAcentral.
GAUGAAGAACGUAGCGAAAUGCGAUAAGUAAUGUGAAUUGCAGAGUUCAGUGAAUCAUCGAGUCUUUGAACGCACAUUGCGCCCCCUGGUAUUCCGGGGGGCAUGCCUGUCCGAGCGUCAUUGCUGCCCUCAAGCCCGGCUUGUGUGUUGGGUCUCGUCCCCCUUCCCGGGGGGACGGGCCCGAAAGGCAGCGGCGGCACCGCGUCCGGUCCUCGAGCGUAUGGGGCUUUGUCACCCGCUCUGUAGGCCCGGCCGGCGCUUGCCGAUCAACCAAAACUUUUUUCCAGGUUGACCUCGGAUCAGGUAGGGAUACCCGCUGAACUUAAGCAUAUCAAUAAGCGGAGGA